UUGAGAAAGAAAGAUAUCAAAUGUACUCCACUAGGAGAAUAUUGAAAUAAAAUAGAAAUUUAUCACUAAACUACUUCUCCUUUUUAUCAUGAAAGGUAAAGGCAAAUUUGGGCAACAUCCAGAAGGAUCAAAGCCCUUUGAGCAUAAAUGUCAAAGCAAACAGCUAAGCCAACCAAAACAACGACCCACAAGCAUGAUAGAUACACCCAAUGUUGGAAAAUAACUGACCUACCCCCUGUUGGUAGCUAGCCACUCUAGAGGAAAUGAUAGGUCUGCCAAUACAUCAACCUCGAACUAGAUCUAUAGCUGUGGGAAUGGAAAAGGGAACCAACUCUUGGUUGGGCAUGGUCCUCAGAGACGUCCAAUAAACACACUAGCUUGAAUCUCGCGGAAUAGAGUUCUACUUCUAUCAACAAAGGUAUGAGUUAAUAAAAACAAAUAAAUAAAAUAUAGUUAUACAUUGGAGGUUGAGGUUUACAUAAGCCAAACUCAGGUUAAUAAGCAUAUAGGGGGAGGUAAACUACUUAUCCAAAAUGACCAUUUUCCCGUCUAUAAUCAUUUGGUUGAAACUGACCUGAGUUCGAGAAAUGGGGCCGGUUGAGAAAAAAUGUUCAACUUAUUGAAGAGCAUUUUCAAAAGCCUCCCGAGCACAGAGAAACUUUCCUAUAAAGACUUAGACAGUUCUUUAGAAAGAGAAGGGGUUUAUUCACGAUUGUUCGUAAGUCUGACCAUGGUCUUCUAAUGAUCAUCUUGAGAUUCCUUUAAAGUCUUAUCCAACUCCCCAGUCCUAUUUUGGGCAGCUUCCAAGGACCGUUUCUCCCCAAUUAGAGCUUUUGUCCUUGUCAACUACUACUUGAACUAGCCGCUGUAGCUUUUUGAGCAAAGAACUAGAAUAUCUUAAAGUUUCAAGGUAAUUUUGAUGGCAAGGAAGAAGUUGGAAACAUCCAGAACCUCCUUUAAUCAUCUAUCCCUCUCAAGGACAACAUCGCCAACCUUAUUCUUCAACUUUUCCCUAUCUCUCUGCAAAAGUGGUCAGGAAGAAAAACUUUCUCAUGGAUGGCAACAGCAAAAGCUAGAACAAGAGAUAAUUGUACCCUACCACCAACGGCCGAGAUCCC
Molecule: long non-coding RNA, 1118 nt
Filed under: Lathyrus oleraceus (garden pea)
Lineage: Eukaryota; Viridiplantae; Streptophyta; Magnoliopsida; Fabales; Fabaceae
Description: Pisum sativum (pea) long non-coding RNA (PSAT_LNC035704)
Source: RNAcentral